This 465-nucleotide ribosomal RNA is filed under the name Vreelandella stevensii. Its description in RNAcentral is "partial 16S ribosomal RNA". It matches the Rfam family "Bacterial small subunit ribosomal RNA", at positions 338 to 795 of the family's 1533-position model. Lineage: Bacteria; Pseudomonadati; Pseudomonadota; Gammaproteobacteria; Oceanospirillales; Halomonadaceae. The record is from RNAcentral.
CCUACGGGGGGCUGCAGUGGGGAAUAUUGGACAAUGGGGGCAACCCUGAUCCAGCCAUGCCGCGUGUGUGAAGAAGGCCCUCGGGUUGUAAAGCACUUUCAGUGAGGAAGAACGCCUGGUGGUUAAUACCCAUCAGGAAAGACAUCACUCACAGAAGAAGCACCGGCUAACUCCGUGCCAGCAGCCGCGGUAAUACGGAGGGUGCGAGCGUUAAUCGGAAUUACUGGGCGUAAAGCGCGCGUAGGUGGCUUGAUAAGCCGGUUGUGAAAGCCCCGGGCUCAACCUGGGAACGGCAUCCGGAACUGUCAAGCUAGAGUGCAGGAGAGGAAGGUAGAAUUCCCGGUGUAGCGGUGAAAUGCGUAGAGAUCGGGAGGAAUCCCAGUGGCGAAGGCGGCCUUCUGGACUGACACUGACACUGAGGUGCGAAAGCGUGGGUAGCAAACAGGAUUAGAUACCCUGGUAGUC